Molecule: ribosomal RNA, 497 nt
Filed under: uncultured bacterium
Lineage: Bacteria
Description: partial 16S ribosomal RNA
Rfam family: Bacterial small subunit ribosomal RNA
Source: RNAcentral
GAUGAACGCUGGCGGCGUGCCUAAUACAUGCAAGUCGAGCGAACAGAUAAGGAGCUUGCUCCUUUGACGUUAGCGGCGGACGGGUGAGUAACACGUGGGUAACCUACCUAUAAGACUGGAAUAACUCCGGGAAACCGGGGCUAAUGCCGGAUAACAUUUAGAACCGCAUGGUUCUAAAGUGAAAGAUGGUUUUGCUAUCACUUAUAGAUGGACCCGCGCCGUAUUAGCUAGUUGGUAAGGUAACGGCUUACCAAGGCAACGAUACGUAGCCGACCUGAGAGGGUGAUCGGCCACACGGGAACUGAGACACGGUCCAGACUCCGACGGGAAGCAGCAGUAGGGAAUCUUCCGCGAUGGGCGAAAGCCUGACGGAGCAACGCCGCGUGAGUGAUGAAGGACUUCGGAUCGGAAAACUCUGUUAUUAGGGAAGAACAAAUGUGUAAGUAACUGUGCACGUCUUGACGGUACCUAAUCAGAAAGCCACGGCUAACUACGUG